Molecule: ribosomal RNA, 429 nt
Filed under: Acidobacteriota bacterium
Lineage: Bacteria; Pseudomonadati; Acidobacteriota
Description: Acidobacteria bacterium partial 16S ribosomal RNA
Rfam family: Bacterial small subunit ribosomal RNA
Source: RNAcentral
UGGGGAAUUUUGGACAAUGGGGGAAACCCUGCUCCAGCCAUCCCGCGUGUGCGAUGAAGGCCUUCGGGUUGUAAAGCACUUUUGGCAGGAAAGAAACGUCAUGGGUUAAUACCCCGUGAAACUGACGGUACCUGCAGAAUAAGCACCGGCUAACUACGUGCCAGCAGCCGCGGUAAUACGUAGGGUGCAAGCGUUAAUCGGAAUUACUGGGCGUAAAGCGUGCGCAGGCGGUUCGGAAAGAAAGAUGUGAAAUCCCAGAGCUCAACUUUGGAACUGCAUUUUUAACUACCGGGCUAGAGUGUGUCAGAGGGAGGUGGAAUUCCGCGUGUAGCAGUGAAAUGCGUAGAUAUGCGGAGGAACACCGAUGGCGAAGGCAGCCUCCUGGGAUAACACUGACGCUCAUGCACGAAAGCGUGGGGAGCAAACAGG